UCAUUUAUGACGGAUGUAUGAUGAAGGAACUGGCAUCGGCAUCAACACAUACAAUGUCAAAUUUGCGGUGGGCGACAAGACGUGGAGAAAAGAAAUCGAAAGAGAAGAAAACAAAUAUGUGAGCCGAGAAAACAAGGACAAGACAUCUAGAAAAUGCGGAGAGAGCGACUAAAGAAGAAAUUGCAAGCAGGGACAGAGACAUGCCCUGGGCAGCCUGGGGGCAUAAGGCUUUUUUUUGUUCCGUACUAACUUUGAUGAUUUGACCUGGGUCUUCUUUUUUUUUAGAACACCUGGGUCUUGCUUGGUAAUUUUAUUGAUCUGAAGUAAUGGUCAUGGGCUUGACGAAAUCCUGCCUCCGGCCCUGGCUGCAAGAGAAGAAAAAGAAGAUGAGCAUUCGUGCGAGAGGCUUAGGGUGUGUUCGGCAACCCACCAGCUUCCCAGAAAUCCUUCG
This 451-nucleotide long non-coding RNA is filed under the name Brachypodium distachyon (stiff brome). RNAcentral describes it as "long non-coding RNA (BDIS_LNC001353)". Lineage: Eukaryota; Viridiplantae; Streptophyta; Magnoliopsida; Poales; Poaceae. The record is from RNAcentral.